This is a long non-coding RNA of Petromyzon marinus (sea lamprey), 1085 nucleotides long. RefSeq lists it as uncharacterized. Lineage: Eukaryota; Metazoa; Chordata; Hyperoartia; Petromyzontiformes; Petromyzontidae. The record is from RefSeq and is a predicted model, not a curated record.
CCGUGAGCUGGAGAUAGUGUGGUCAGACCGGUUUGGGAGAGAACACGCCAACCAGUUCUAGGGCAACGUAGGCUAUUUAUAGACGGACCCCUCUCACGGGAUUAGCCUAGGGACCAAACAAUGAGCUGCGCAGCCCUAUAAAAAGAGAGCCCGAAUCGGCAGUGUGGGGGCACACAACUCAGAAGCAGCAGUGGCAGCAGCAGGAGUGGCUGGGCGAGCGCCCACCCUCAAGCAGCGACACGAGUGAGGACCACGGGACCGUCACUCGGCCGACCUGGGGAGUGAACCGGGGCCAGUGGGACGUCUGGGGCCACAAGAGCAUGCCAGGAGCCUCAGGAGCAGGGAAGCAAGCGAGUUGCAGCCUGGCACUGGCCGAGAGUGAAGUCGGUUGCCAUCGGGUUAUCGGGAUGGCCGCUCGGGCUGCCCACGGACAUCUCCCACUGUCCAAGGACGGGAACUCUGUGAAGCGGAGUUGCAUAGGGGAGGUGGAACCCCUGGGAGAGGGGUACUCUGCGAAGCAGAGUUGCAAAAGGGACAGGAAAACCCCUGGAGGAACAUCGGAACUCUGAAGCAGAGUUGCGUAGGGGAGGUGGACAACCCCCCUUUUCUCCCCCCCCCCCAAAAGCUUGUGUGUCCCGGGAAAGCGGUAGGGACCGUAGGUGUGAGUGGAUGUGUGUGGGUGAUCUUGUGUUGAUUCUUAUUUGGUUGAUGUUCUUUGUGGUAGCCUGCUCCACAGCUGUAACUCCUCUGUCUGGGGUGGUGUCAGCUCGGAGUAAUAAAAAUUCUGACAUCCCUAACAGCCAGGGCUCUGAGUGGUCAAACGCCAGCGCAAAGCAUUACACCCCACCAACCAUCAGCCCUCCUGAUUAGGCAACGUGACUGUUUAUUUUUAGUCAGAGGCAACUUGAUUUGAUUGCCUGUCAGAUGGUGGCGGGUUAGUACGUAAAAAUUACAUAUCUACACCAUGUAACCAAAAGUUAAUUUUUAAAAAAAUCAUUCAUAUAUAAAGCCUAUGAAUAAAAUGCAAAGUUGAAACGGCCAGCAACUAUGUUAAAAUCUAGUAAUAAAAAGUGUGAACAAUUGUA